CUCAUAUCCAUGAUUUUCUUUCUAUUUCCUCAGUGACCAGUCCUUGCCCUGAAGCUAUCCAGGAGCCCAGCAGGAGCCUCCUCAUCAGAACAGAAAACACUCCUAUCACCCAGGAAAUUCCAAGGGAUUUAGCAGCUCUGCGUCAGGAACCAGGGGCAGACACCAACCAUCCUGAUG
Lemur catta (Ring-tailed lemur) is the source of this 177-nucleotide long non-coding RNA. RefSeq lists it as uncharacterized. The transcript is spliced from 3 exons. The record is from RefSeq and is a predicted model, not a curated record. NCBI's taxonomy places the organism in Eukaryota, Metazoa, Chordata, Mammalia, Primates, Lemuridae.